This 460-nucleotide ribosomal RNA is filed under the name uncultured bacterium. Its description in RNAcentral is "partial 16S ribosomal RNA". It matches the Rfam family "Bacterial small subunit ribosomal RNA", at positions 338 to 795 of the family's 1533-position model. The record is from RNAcentral.
CCUACGGGUGGCAGCAGUGAGGAAUAUUGGUCAAUGGACGAGCGUCUGAACCAGCCAAGUAGCGUGAAGGAUGACUGCCCUAUGGGUUGUAAACUUCUUUUAUAUGGGAAUAAAAUGUGCCACGUGUGGCAUUUUGUAUGUAACAUGUGAAUAAGGAUCGGCUAACUCCGUGCCAGCAGCCGCGGUAAUACGGAGGAUCCGAGCGUUAUCCGGAUUUAUUGGGUUUAAAGGGAGCGUAGGCGGAAUGUAAAGUCAGGUGUUAAAGGCGCAGGCUCAACCUGUGUAUGGCAGUUGAUACUUGCAAUCUGGAAUGCGGUAGAGGUAAAGGGAAGUCGUGGUGUAGCGGUGAAAUGCUUAGAUAUCAGGAGGAACACCGGUGGCGUAAGCAGUUUACUGGGCCGUAAUUGACGCUGAGGAACGAAAGCGAGGGUAUCAAACGGGAUUAGAUACCCGAGUAGUC